This 919-nucleotide ribosomal RNA is filed under the name uncultured eukaryote. Its description in RNAcentral is "SSU rRNA". It matches the Rfam family "Eukaryotic small subunit ribosomal RNA", at positions 531 to 1469 of the family's 1831-position model. The record is from RNAcentral.
CACUAUAGGACGAUUGAUUAGCCGCCGCGAUCGCCCUGUGCCAGCAGCCGCGGUAAUUCCAGCUCCAAUAGCGUAUAUUAAAGUUGUUGUGGUUAAAAAGCUCGUAGUUGGAUCUCGGCGGACUGAGGGCGGUUUGCUUGCUAGUAUUACUGCCCUAUAGUCCGUAGUUUUGCCAGAGGUUUCGGGGUGCUCUUAAUCGAGUGUCCCGGGAUGCUGGCAGGUUUACUUUGAAAAAAUUAGAGUGCUCAAAGCAGGCUAUUACGCCUGAAUAUUCGUGCAUGGAAUAAUAGAAUAGGAAGUCGUUUCUAUUUUGUUGGUUUUCGGAAAUCGACUUAAUGAUUAAUAGGGACAGUCGGGGGCAUUUGUAUUCAAACGACAGAGGUGAAAUUCUUGGACCGUUUGAAGACAAACUACUGCGAAAGCAUUUGCCAAGAAUGUUUUCAUUAAUCAAGAACGAAAGUUAAAGGUUCGAAGGCGAUUAGAUACCGCCCUAGUUUUAACCAUAAACGAUGCCAGCUAGCGAUCUGCGGACGUUUUUUUUGUAGACUCCGCAGGAAGCUUCCGGGAAACCAAAGCAUUUGGGUUCCAGGGGAAGUAUGGUUGCAAAGCUGAAACUUAAAGGAAUUGACGGAAGGGCACCACCAGGAGUGGAGCCUGUGGCUUAAUUUGACUCAACACGGGAAAUCUCACCAGGCCCGGACACUGGAAGGAUUGACAGAUUGAUAGCUCUUUCUUGAUUCGGUGGGUGGUGGUGCAUGGCCGUUCUUAGUUGGUGGAGUGAUUUGUCUGGUUAAUUCCGAUAACGAACGAGACUCUGUCCUGCUAAAUAGUGUCUGCUUCUCUUUUGAGCAGACAAUUCUUCUUAGAGGGACUGGCGACUCUUAGUCGCACGAGAUUGAGCAAUAACAGGUCUGUGAUG